GUCCACGCCCUAAACGAUGCGUGCCCGGUGUGGGGACUUCAAUCUGUCCCCGUGCCUUAAGCAAACGCGGUAAGCACGCCGCCUGGGAAGUACGGUCGCAAGACUAAAACUCAAAGGAAUAGACGGGGACCCACACAAGCGGUGGAGCGUGGGGUUUAAUUCGAUACUAAGCGAAGAACCUCACCCAGGCUUGACAUCUCGGGAAUCGACUGGAAACAGUUGAGUGCCGCAAGGAACCCGAAGACAGGCGCUGCACGGUCGUCGU
This 265-nucleotide ribosomal RNA is filed under the name uncultured bacterium. RNAcentral describes it as "partial 16S ribosomal RNA". It matches the Rfam family "Bacterial small subunit ribosomal RNA", at positions 793 to 1055 of the family's 1533-position model. The record is from RNAcentral.